RNAcentral lists this ribosomal RNA (440 nucleotides) under uncultured bacterium. RNAcentral's name for it is "partial 16S ribosomal RNA". It matches the Rfam family "Bacterial small subunit ribosomal RNA", at positions 338 to 795 of the family's 1533-position model. The record is from RNAcentral.
CCUACGGGAGGCAGCAGUGGGGGAUAUUGCACAAUGGGGGAAACCCUGAUGCAGCGACGCCGCGUGGGUGAAGAAGGGCCUCGGCGCGUAAAGCCCUGUCAGCAGGGAAGAAAAUGACGGUACCUGAAGAAGAAGCCCCGGCGAACGACGUGCCAGCAGCCGCGGUAAUACGUCGGGGGCAAGCGUUAUCCGGAGUUACGGGGUGUAAAGGGGGCGCAGACGGCGAUGCAAGCCAGGAGUGAAAGCCCGGGGCCCACCCCCGGGACUGCUCUUGGAACUGCGUGGCUAGAGUGCAGGAGGGGCAGGCGGAAUUCCUGGUGUAGCGGUGCAAUUCGUAGAUAUCCGGCGGAACUCCGGUGGCGAAGGCGGCCUGCUGGACUGCAACUGCCGUUGAGGCCCGACAGCGUGGGGAGCACACAGGAUUAGCUACCCCGGUAGUC